Molecule: non-coding RNA, 681 nt
Filed under: Dipodomys ordii (Ord's kangaroo rat)
Lineage: Eukaryota; Metazoa; Chordata; Mammalia; Rodentia; Heteromyidae
Description: Microsporidia small subunit ribosomal RNA
Rfam family: Microsporidia small subunit ribosomal RNA
Source: Rfam by way of RNAcentral
AGUUAAUAUUCUACCGGCGUAAAGAGUGCUUAAAUAUUUAUCAAAUAGAGCUAAGACUAGUCUUCGCUGUAAAAAGCCAAAGCCAAAGUAAAAAUCAAUAACGAAAGUAACUCUAAUUUUUGUAGCACUAAAGCUAUUACCUAAACUGGGAUUAGAUACCCCACUAUAAUUAGCCAUAAACAUAAGUAGUUCAUAACAUUACUACUCGCCAGAGAACUACAAGCCACCGCUUAAAACUCAAAGGACUUGGCGGUGCUUUAUAUCCACCUAGAGGAGCCUGUUCCAUAACCGAUGAUCCCCGAUUUACCUCACCACUCCUUGCUAAUUCAGCCUAUAUACCGCCAUCUUCAGUUAACCCUAAAAAGGAAAUAAAGUAAGCCUAAUCAGUAUUACUAAAGAAGUUAGGUCAAGGUGUAGCCCAUGGAGUGGAGCGAAAUGGGCUACAUUUUCUAUUACUAGAACAUUACGAAACUCUACGUGAAAUCCGUAGAAUAAAGGAGGAUUUAGUAGUAAAUUAAAACUAGAGUGUUUAAUUGAAUAGAGCAAUGAAGCACGCACACACCGCCCGUCACCCUCCUCAAUUUCUCAACAAUUAAAAGUACAUAACACCUAAUUACAAAAGAUUGAGAGGAGACAAGUCGUAACAAGGUAAGUGUACUGGAAAGUGCACUUGGAAAAAUC